This 749-nucleotide ribosomal RNA is filed under the name uncultured archaeon. RNAcentral's name for it is "bacterial SSU rRNA". It matches the Rfam family "Archaeal small subunit ribosomal RNA", at positions 69 to 819 of the family's 1478-position model. The record is from RNAcentral.
UAGCAAUACAAGGCAGACGGCUCAGUAACGCGUAGUCAAUCUACCCUAUGGACGGGAAUAACCUCGGGAAACUGAGAAUAAUGCCCGAUAGAACAUUAUGCCUGGAAUGGUUUAUGUUUCAAAUGAUUUAUCGCCAUAGGAUGGGACUGCGGCCUAUCAGUUUGUUGGUGAGGUAAUGGCCCACCAAGACUAUUACAGGUACGGGCUCUGAGAGGAGUAGCCCGGUGAUGGGUACUGAGACACGGACCCAGGCCCUAUGGGGCGCAGCAGGCGAGAAAACUUUGCAAUGUGCGAAAGCACGACAAGGUUAAUCCGAGUGGUUUCUGCUAAAGAAACCUUUUGUCAGUCCUAGAAACACUGAUGAAUAAGGGGUGGGCAAGUUCUGGUGUCAGCCGCCGCGGUAAAACCAGCACCUCAAGUGGUCAGGAUGAUUAUUGGGCCUAAAGCAUCCGUAGCUCGUUUUGUAAGUUUUCGGUUAAAUCCAUGCGCUUAACGUAUGGGCUGCCGGGAAUACUGCAUAACUAGGAAGUGGGAGAGGUAGACGGUACUCGGUAGGAAGGGGUAAAAUCCUUUGAUCUAUUGAUGACCACCUGUGGCGAAGGCGGUCUACCAGAACACGUUCGACGGUGAGGGAUGAAAGCUGGGGGAGCAAACCGGAUUAGAUACCCGGGUAGUCCCAGCUGUAAACUAUGCAAACUCAGUGAUGCAUUGGCUUGUGGCCAAUGCAGUGCUGCAGGGAAGCCGUUAAG